This 253-nucleotide ribosomal RNA is filed under the name uncultured bacterium. RNAcentral's name for it is "partial 16S ribosomal RNA". It matches the Rfam family "Bacterial small subunit ribosomal RNA", at positions 524 to 776 of the family's 1533-position model. The record is from RNAcentral.
UACGAAGGGGGCGAGCGUUGUUCGGAAUUACUGGGCGUAAAGGGCGCGCAGGCGGCUCAUUUUGUCAGGCGUGAAAGCCCCGGGCUUAACCUGGGAGGUGCGUUUGAUACGGAUGGGCUGGAGUUCGGGAGAGGAGAGCGGAAUUCCCAGUGUAGAGGUGAAAUUCGUAGAUAUUGGGAAGAACACCGGUGGCGAAGGCGGCUCUCUGGACCGAUACUGACGCUCAUGCACGACAGCGUGGGGAUCAAACAGG